This 233-nucleotide ribosomal RNA is filed under the name uncultured bacterium. RNAcentral's name for it is "partial 16S ribosomal RNA". It matches the Rfam family "Bacterial small subunit ribosomal RNA", at positions 103 to 334 of the family's 1533-position model. The record is from RNAcentral.
CGGGUGAGUAACGCGUGAGGAACCUGCCUCAAAGAGGGGGACAACAGUUGGAAACGACUGCUAAUACCGCAUAAGCCCACGGCUCGGCAUCGAGCAGAGGGAAAAGGAGCAAUCCGCUUUGAGAUGGCCUCGCGUCCGAUUAGCUAGUUGGCGAGGUAACGGCCCACCAAGGCAACGAUCGGUAGCCGGACUGAGAGGUUGAACGGCCAUAUUGGGACUGAGACACGGCCCAG